UACGGAGGGUGCGAGCGUUGUCCGGAAUCACUGGGCGUAAAGGGCGCGUAGGCGGCCGUGUAAGUCACUUGUGAAAUCCCGGGGCUCAACUCCGGGGCUGCAGGUGAGACUGCGUGGCUAGAGCUUGGUAGAGGAGAGUGGAAUUCCCGGUGUAGCGGUGGAAUGCGUAGAUAUCGGGAGGAACACCGGUGGCGAAGGCGGGUCUCUGGGCAGUAACUGACGCUGAGGAGCGAAAGCGUGGGGAGCGAACAGG
This 253-nucleotide ribosomal RNA is filed under the name uncultured bacterium. RNAcentral describes it as "partial 16S ribosomal RNA". It matches the Rfam family "Bacterial small subunit ribosomal RNA", at positions 524 to 776 of the family's 1533-position model. The record is from RNAcentral.